AUACGGAAGGUCCGGGCGUUAUCCGGAUUUAUUGGGUUUAAAGGGAGCGCAGGCGGAGAUGCAAGCGUGACGUCAAAUUUCGGGGCUCAACCCCGUCUCGCGUCGCGAACUGCGUCCCUUGGUUGCGGGAAGGGGAGGCGGAACUCGUGGUGUAGCGGUGAAAUGCUUAGAUAUCACGAAGAACCCCGAUUGCGAAGGCAGCUGUCUGGGGUGCCACUGACGCUGAGGCUCGAAAGUGCGGGUAUCAAACAGGAUUAGAUACCCUGGUAGUCCGCACAGUAAACGAUGGACACUCGUGGUCGGCGACACACUGCCGGUCACCAAGCGAAAGCGAUAAGUGUCCCACCUGGGGAGUACGCCGGCAACGGUGAAACUCAAAGGAAUUGACGGGG
This 392-nucleotide ribosomal RNA is filed under the name uncultured bacterium. Its description in RNAcentral is "partial 16S ribosomal RNA". It matches the Rfam family "Bacterial small subunit ribosomal RNA", at positions 523 to 918 of the family's 1533-position model. The record is from RNAcentral.